CAGUCGCCGCGGUAAUACGAAGGGUGCAAGCGUUAAUCGGAAUUACUGGGCGUAAAGCGCGCGUAGGUGGUUCAUUAAGUUGGAUGUGAAAGCCCUGGGCUCAACCUGGGAACUGCAUCCAAAACUGGUGAGCUAGAGUACGGUAGAGGGUAGUGGAAUUUCCUGUGUAGCGGUGAAAUGCGUAGAUAUAGGAAGGAACACCAGUGGCGAAGGCGACUACCUGGACUGAUACUGACACUGAGGUGCGAAAGCGUGGGGAGCAAACGGGAUUAGAUACCCGAGUAGUCCCUGUCUCUUAUAC
This 301-nucleotide ribosomal RNA is filed under the name uncultured bacterium. RNAcentral describes it as "partial 16S ribosomal RNA". It matches the Rfam family "Bacterial small subunit ribosomal RNA", at positions 509 to 807 of the family's 1533-position model. The record is from RNAcentral.